GAACGCUGGCGGCGUGCUUAACACAUGCAAGUCGAACGGAAAGGCCUCUUCGGAGGUACUCGAGUGGCGAACGGGUGAGUAACACGUGGGUGAUCUGCCCUGCACUCUGGGAUAAGCCUGGGAAACUGGGUCUAAUACCGGAUAGGACCAUGCUUUAGUGUGUGUGGUGGAAAGUUUUUUCGGUGUAGGAUGAGCCCGCGGCCUAUCAGCUUGUUGGUGGGGUAAUGGCCUACCAAGGCGGCGACGGGUAGCCGGACUGAGAGGUUGGUCGGCCACAUUGGGACUGAGAUACGGCCCAGACUCCUACGGGAGGCAGCAGUGGGGAAUAUUGCACAAUGGGCGCAAGCCUGAUGCAGCGACGCCGCGUGGGGGAUGACGGCCUUCGGGUUGUAAACUCCUUUCGCCAGGGACGAAGCGUUUUGUGACGGUACCUGGAGAAGAAGCACCGGCUAACUACGUGCCAGCAGCCGCGGUAAUACGUAGGGUGCAAGCGUUGUCCGGAAUUACUGGGCGUAAAGAGCUCGUAGGUGGUUUGUCACGUCGUCUGUGAAAUUCCACAGCUUAACUGUGGGCGUGCAGGCGAUACGGGCUGACUUGAGUACUGUAGGGGUAACUGGAAUUCCUGGUGUAGCGGUGAAAUGCGCAGAUAUCAGGAGGAACACCGAUGGCGAAGGCAGGUUACUGGGCAGUUACUGACGCUGAGGGGCGAAAGCAUGGGUAGCAAACAGGAUUAGAUACCCUGGUAGUCCAUGCCGUAAACGGUGGGCGCUAGGUGUAGGGACCUUUUGGGGUUUCUGUGCCGUAGCUAACGCAUUAAGCGCCCCGCCUGGGGAGUACGGCCGCAAGGCUA
RNAcentral lists this ribosomal RNA (850 nucleotides) under uncultured bacterium. RNAcentral describes it as "bacterial SSU rRNA". It matches the Rfam family "Bacterial small subunit ribosomal RNA", at positions 31 to 896 of the family's 1533-position model. The record is from RNAcentral.